This is a long non-coding RNA of Leguminivora glycinivorella, 376 nucleotides long. RefSeq lists it as uncharacterized. The transcript is spliced from 3 exons. Lineage: Eukaryota; Metazoa; Arthropoda; Insecta; Lepidoptera; Tortricidae. The record is from RefSeq and is a predicted model, not a curated record.
UAUAAAUAUUUAUGUAAAAUUAAUAUAGGCAGUAAAGUUGUUAAAAAGGGAUACAUUUAUUACUCAAAUAAGUUAGACAGCAUGACAGUAAAACCAAACCAUAACAGUGAAACAGAAGAUUAUGAGUAUUAGCCACGAUAUAACUCAUGAAGGAGGGAGAACCUAGAGAACGAACCUAAGAUGGAACGAGAGACGAAGUUGGUCAUAAAUAGAACAGGAGCGAUGAGAUAUUGGAGAAACUGUUAGAAGGAGAUCGUCCAAUGACGGCGUUCUUGUGCUAUCAAAUAGGUACCUAAUGUGAAGAUAAUACCUAGAUUUCUACUCGUCUAAUACCUCGCCUACCUCGAAAAAUUCAAUAAAUCAAUCAAUCAAAAUA